AUUGAACGCUGGCGGCGUGCCUAACACAUGCAAGUCGAGCGGUAACAGGUGUAGCAAUACAUGCUGACGAGCGGCGAACGGGUGAGUAAUGCUUCGGAAUCUGCCCAUGUAGUGGGGAAUAACCAGCCGAAAGGUUGGCUAAUACCGCAUACGACCCUUGCCCACAAGGCAAAGGUGAAAGCAGGGGAUCGCAAGACCUUGCGCUAUUGGAUGAGCCGAAGUCGGAUUAGCUAGUUGGUAGGGUAACGGCCUACCAAGGCGACGAUCCGUAGCUGGUCUGAGAGGACGACCAGCCACACUGGGACUGAGACACGGCCCAGACUCCUACGGGAGGCAGCAGUGGGGAAUAUUGGAC
RNAcentral lists this ribosomal RNA (355 nucleotides) under uncultured bacterium. Its description in RNAcentral is "bacterial SSU rRNA". It matches the Rfam family "Bacterial small subunit ribosomal RNA", at positions 30 to 369 of the family's 1533-position model. The record is from RNAcentral.